AGAUUAAGUUAUUAAGGGCGCACGGUGGAUGCCUUGGCACUAGAAGCCGAUGAAGGACGUUACUAACGACGAUAUGCUUUGGGGAGCUGUAAGUAAGCUUUGAUCCAGAGAUUUCCGAAUGGGGAAACCCAGCAUGAGUUAUGUCAUGUUAUCGAUAUGUGAAUACAUAGCAUAUCAGAAGGCACACCCGGAGAACUGAAACAUCUUAGUACCCGGAGGAAGAGAAAGAAAAUUCGAUUCCCUUAGUAGCGGCGAGCGAAACGGGAAGAGCCCAAACCAACAAGCUUGCUUGUUGGGGUUGUAGGACACUCUAUACGGAGUUACAAAGGACGACAUUAGACGAAUCAUCUGGAAAGAUGAAUCAAAGAAGGUAAUAAUCCUGUAGUCGAAAAUGUUGUCUCUCUUGAGUGGAUCCUGAGUACGACGGAGCACGUGAAAUUCCGUCGGAAUCUGGGAGGACCAUCUCCUAAGGCUAAAUACUCUCUAGUGACCGAUAGUGAACCAGUACCGUGAGGGAAAGGUGAAAAGCACCCCGGAAGGGGAGUGAAAUAGAACCUGAAACCGUGUGCUUACAAGUAGUCAGAGCCCGUUAAUGGGUGAUGGCGUGCCUUUUGUAGAAUGAACCGGCGAGUUACGAUUUGAUGCAAGGUUAAGCAGUAAAUGUGGAGCCGUAGCGAAAGCGAGUCUGAAUAGGGCGUUUAGUAUUUGGUCGUAGACCCGAAACCAGGUGAUCUACCCUUGGUCAGGUUGAAGUUCAGGUAACACUGAAUGGAGGACCGAACCGACUUACGUUGAAAAGUGAGCGGAUGAACUGAGGGUAGCGGAGAAAUUCCAAUCGAACCUGGAGAUAGCUGGUUCUCUCCGAAAUAGCUUUAGGGCUAGCCUCAAGUGAUGAUUAUUGGAGGUAGAGCACUGUUUGGACGAGGGGCCCCUCUCGGGUUACCGAAUUCAGACAAACUCCGAAUGCCAAUUAAUUUAACUUGGGAGUCAGAACAUGGGUGAUAAGGUCCGUGUUCGAAAGGGAAACAGCCCAGACCACCAGCUAAGGUCCCAAAAUAUAUGUUAAGUGGAAAAGGAUGUGGCGUUGCCCAGACAACUAGGAUGUUGGCUUAGAAGCAGCCAUCAUUUAAAGAGUGCGUAAUAGCUCACUAGUCGAGUGACACUGCGCCGAAAAUGUACCGGGGCUAAACAUAUUACCGAAGCUGUGGAUUGUCCUUUGGACAAUGGUAGGAGAGCGUUCUAAGGGCGUUGAAGCAUGAUCGUAAGGACAUGUGGAGCGCUUAGAAGUGAGAAUGCCGGUGUGAGUAGCGAAAGACGGGUGAGAAUCCCGUCCACCGAUUGACUAAGGUUUCCAGAGGAAGGCUCGUCCGCUCUGGGUUAGUCGGGUCCUAAGCUGAGGCCGACAGGCGUAGGCGAUGGAUAACAGGUUGAUAUUCCUGUACCACCUAUAAUCGUUUUAAUCGAUGGGGGGACGCAGUAGGAUAGGCGAAGCGUGCGAUUGGAUUGCACGUCUAAGCAGUAAGGCUGAGUAUUAGGCAAAUCCGGUACUCAUUAAGGCUGAGCUGUGAUGGGGAGAAGACAUUGUGUCUUCGAGUCGUUGAUUUCACACUGCCGAGAAAAGCCUCUAGAUAGAAAAUAGGUGCCCGUACCGCAAACCGACACAGGUAGUCAAGAUGAGAAUUCUAAGGUGAGCGAGCGAACUCUCGUUAAGGAACUCGGCAAAAUGACCCCGUAACUUCGGGAGAAGGGGUGCUCUUUAGGGUUAACGCCCAGAAGAGCCGCAGUGAAUAGGCCCAAGCGACUGUUUAUCAAAAACACAGGUCUCUGCUAAACCGUAAGGUGAUGUAUAGGGGCUGACGCCUGCCCGGUGCUGGAAGGUUAAGAGGAGUGGUUAGCUUCUGCGAAGCUACGAAUCGAAGCCCCAGUAAACGGCGGCCGUAACUAUAACGGUCCUAAGGUAGCGAAAUUCCUUGUCGGGUAAGUUCCGACCCGCACGAAAGGCGUAACGAUUUGGGCACUGUCUCAACGAGAGACUCGGUGAAAUCAUAGUACCUGUGAAGAUGCAGGUUACCCGCGACAGGACGGAAAGACCCCGUGGAGCUUUACUGUAGCCUGAUAUUGAAAUUCGGCACAGCUUGUACAGGAUAGGUAGGAGCCUUUGAAACGUGAGCGCUAGCUUACGUGGAGGCGCUGGUGGGAUACUACCCUAGCUGUGUUGGCUUUCUAACCCGCACCACUUAUCGUGGUGGGAGACAGUGUCAGGCGGGCAGUUUGACUGGGGCGGUCGCCUCCUAAAAGGUAACGGAGGCGCUCAAAGGUUCCCUCAGAAUGGUUGGAAAUCAUUCAUAGAGUGUAAAGGCAUAAGGGAGCUUGACUGCGAGACCUACAAGUCGAGCAGGGUCGAAAGACGGACUUAGUGAUCCGGUGGUUCCGCAUGGAAGGGCCAUCGCUCAACGGAUAAAAGCUACCCCGGGGAUAACAGGCUUAUCUCCCCCAAGAGUUCACAUCGACGGGGAGGUUUGGCACCUCGAUGUCGGCUCAUCGCAUCCUGGGGCUGUAGUCGGUCCCAAGGGUUGGGCUGUUCGCCCAUUAAAGCGGUACGCGAGCUGGGUUCAGAACGUCGUGAGACAGUUCGGUCCCUAUCCGUCGUGGGCGUAGGAAAUUUGAGAGGAGCUGUCCUUAGUACGAGAGGACCGGGAUGGACAUACCUCUGGUGUACCAGUUGUCGUGCCAACGGCAUAGCUGGGUAGCUAUGUGUGGACGGGAUAAGUGCUGAAAGCAUCUAAGCAUGAAGCCCCCCUCAAGAUGAGAUUUCCCAACCUCGGUUAUAAGAUCCCUCAAAGAUGAUGAGGUUAAUAGGUUCGAGGUGGAAGCAUGGUGACAUGUGGAGCUGACGAAUACUAAUCGAUCGAAGACUUAAUCAAAUU
This 2927-nucleotide ribosomal RNA is filed under the name Staphylococcus aureus. RNAcentral's name for it is "23S ribosomal RNA". It matches the Rfam family "Bacterial large subunit ribosomal RNA". The record is from RNAcentral. Lineage: Bacteria; Bacillati; Bacillota; Bacilli; Caryophanales; Staphylococcaceae.